Molecule: ribosomal RNA, 440 nt
Filed under: uncultured bacterium
Lineage: Bacteria
Description: partial 16S ribosomal RNA
Rfam family: Bacterial small subunit ribosomal RNA
Source: RNAcentral
CCUACGGGGGGCAGCAGUGGGGAAUAUUGCACAAUGGGGGAAACCCUGAUGCAGCGACGCCGCGUGAGUGAAGAAGUAAUUCGUUAUGUAAAGCUCUAUCAGCAGGGAAGAAAAUGACGGUACCUGAGUAAGAAGCCCCGGCUAACUACGUGCCAGCAGCCGCGGUAAUACGUAGGGGGCAAGCGUUAUCCGGAUAUACUGGGUGGAAAGGGAGCGUAGACGGCAGUGCAAGUCUGGAGUGAAAGGCGGGGGCUCAACCCCCGGACUGCUCUGGAAACUGUACGGCUGGAGUGCAGGAGAGGUAAGUGGAAUUCCAAGUGUAGCGGUGAAAUGCGUAGAUAUUAGGAAGAACACCAGUGGCGAAGGCGGCUUACUGGACUGUAACUGACGUUGAGGCUCGAAAGCGUGGGGAGCAAACAGGAUUAGAUACCCCAGUAGUC